This 872-nucleotide ribosomal RNA is filed under the name Synalpheus bannerorum. Its description in RNAcentral is "SSU rRNA". It matches the Rfam family "Eukaryotic small subunit ribosomal RNA", at positions 550 to 1387 of the family's 1831-position model. Lineage: Eukaryota; Metazoa; Arthropoda; Malacostraca; Decapoda; Alpheidae. The record is from RNAcentral.
UUGGAGGGCAAGUCUGGUGCCAGCAGCCGCGGUAAUUCCAGCUCCAAUAGCGUAUAUUAAAGUUGUUGCGGUUAAAAAGCUCGUAGUCUGAGUUCAGUUCCGGACUGGUCGGGGAGGUCACCGCCCGGUGCUUGCCCGUAUCAGGUUCCGAACCGCCCACCCGCCGCGUGCGGGGGCCAAGCCGGUUCAGCCGGGGUGCUCUUGACCGAGUGUCCCGCGCGGCCGGCCGCUUCACCUUGAACAAAUGAGAGUGCUCAAAGCAGGCUACUCUUGACACUAAAGCCCGAAUGUUAACUGCAUGGAAUGAUGGAAGAUGAUCUCGGUUCCAUUUUGCUGGGCCCCUUUGGGAAUCCGAGUUAAUGAUAAACAGGGACUGUCGGGGGCAUCCGUACUACGACGCGAGAGGUGAAAUUCAGUGACCGUCGUAGGACGAACAACAGCGAAAGCAUUUGCCAAGAAUGUCUUCGUUGAUCAAGAACGAAAGUUAGAGGAUCGAAGGCGAUCAGAUACCGCCCUAGUUCUAACCCUAAACGAUGCUGACCAGCUAUUCGUUAGCGUUAUUCCCAUGACGUGGCGAGACGCCCCCGGGAAACCUCRAGUCUUUGAGUUCCGGGGGUAGUAUGGUUGCAAAACUGAAACUUAAAGGAAUUGACGGAAGGGCACCACCAGGAGUGGAGCCUGCGGCUUAAUUUGACUCAACACGGGAAACCUCACCAGGCCCGGACACCAGAAGGAUUGACAGAUUAAGAGCUCUUUCUCGAUUUGGUGGGUGGUGGUGCAUGGCCGUUCUUAGUUGGUGGAGUGAUUUGUCUGGUUAAUUCCGGUAACGAACGAGACUCUGGCCUACUAACUAGUGGAUGGGGUAACUUUUG